RNAcentral lists this long non-coding RNA (1736 nucleotides) under Oryzias javanicus (javanese ricefish). Its description in RNAcentral is "lncRNA (ENSOJAG00000009111.1)". The record is from RNAcentral. Lineage: Eukaryota; Metazoa; Chordata; Actinopteri; Beloniformes; Adrianichthyidae.
UGUAAUAUUCGCGCAUGCGCAGACUAGUUGGGAGCCAUCGCAGACCGGGAAGCGUCAGGACCAAACAAAUGCGAACUUUAGGGAUUUUGAAGCGUUUCCCGGCCUGGGCCGGACCAAACAGUCCUUGAACCCCUUCCGGAACACCGGCCCGAACCUCGAGCAGAGCUUUCCGGUGAACUGGAGUUCUGCGCGCGGCUGCUGCACUCCUCUGAGGAUGUCGUCCUCCUUUAAAAUACCAAAGAAGAAACAACCUGGAGACUCAGACUCCUCCCACUUUCAUGUACAGUCUCCACUGUCCCGCCUUCAGAGCUCCGCCCCAUUGGUUAAGGGUUACGGGGAGUCCUCCAGCAGAGGCAGGGUAGACGGUCACCACAGGGGGGCUCUCAGCCCUGCAGCCGGGACAGACAGGUUGGUACGGGACCCCCCGGUUUCCUUUACCAGCUGAAGUUCUGCAGACUGAAGUUGUGCUUCAUGGUGUCUGUAGGCCUUUGUUCAGAGACGUGGUCAAAACGCUGCUGGGACUCAACAGCCCCAAUGAAGGCAGAGUGUCAGCGGCCAAUCACAGGCCGGCGGCGAGCUGGAGCUGCCAAUCACAGACUGGAGGAUGGCGUCCUAAGAGAGCGUCAGACCGCCUGCUGGACCAAUCCCAGCCCCUCCACCAACCCCUGAGGACAGGUGGGGGGGGUGUGUCUCUUCCACUCAAAAACUCCUCAGUGGAUUCUCUGGCUGAGCUGCGAGCCCAGGGGCAUGCUGGGAGUUCAGAUUCACUGCAAACCAGAGGCGAAUCCACGAAAGACGCAGAAGAGAGCAAGAUUGACUCAGGAAAAUCCCAGAACCAGAGUUCUGGACCCAAAACCAUCUCAGAGGACGGGGUAACUUCACUAACCAGAACCAGAAUCAAGAUCCGGCUGUCAGCAGCCUCUCCUCUCUCAGAUGUCCGUCAAACCCCCCCCAGCGUGGAGAGGAAUGGGAGGCGGAGCCUGGAUGUGAUGGAGGCCCAGAGAGACAGAUGGAAGCGGUUCAGAGAGGGGCGGAGCUCCGCUUCCCGUCCAAAGAAACCCAGAGUCACUCCAGCAGAACCCAUUGUUCUGUCCAGUGAGGAAGAGGAGGAGUCAGGGAGGCGUGGCCUAACGGACAGCGGAGGAGGAUCUGAGGUGCAGAGGCCCCCCCCACCUGUGUCUCCGCCCUCCUUCCUGCAGCUGCAGUUCACCUCGCUGCAUGCAGGACUCAUGCACGCGCACGCCAACGGAGCCGCAACGGUGAGUUGAGGCCAGGGUUUAUCCCCGAGGUUCUCCUGUCAGAGUCUACAAGGAUAAAACUUUAUUUAAAACGUCACAGUGAACACACAGUUUAGACCUGGACCAGAACCAGAACUCAGAGGAAGAUCCUCAACAUCUACAGUAAAGCUUGAUCUCCUGCUGCGGCCGUAAACCUUAACGAGCAAUUACACACAGCAGAACACUCGUUAAGGCGAGAAUGACCGACCAGAACCAGAACCAGAACCCGCUGAGAGCGCUGCAACUUCAGAGGACAGCUGUGAACGUUCUGCAUGUUCUGUCCUCUCUGCAGAUCACGCAGGACUCCAUCACGCUUCCUGUCAAAGGUAACGCAACACUGACACAAGGCCGGAACACAACAGGAACAUGACAAAAACACAACAACAACACAACACUGAGACAAGGCCCGAACACAACAGGAACAUGACAAAAACACAACAACAACACAACACUGAGACA